GACGAACGCUGGCGGCGUGCCUAAUACAUGCAAGUAGAACGCACAGUUUAUACCGUAGCUUGCUACACCAUAAACUGUGAGUUGCGAACGGGUGAGUAACGCGUAGGUAACCUGCCUGGUAGCGGGGGAUAACUAUUGGAAACGAUAGCUAAUACCGCAUAAUAUUGAUUAUUGCAUGAUAAUUGAUUGAAAGAUGCUAUUGCAUCACUACCAGAUGGACCUGCGUUGUAUUAGCUAGUAGGUGAGGUAACGGCUCACCUAGGCGACGAUACAUAGCCGACCUGAGAGGGUGGUCGGCCACACUGGGACUGAGACCCGGCCCAGACUCCUACGGGAGGCAGCAGUAGGGAAUCUUCGGCAAUGGACGAAAGUCUGACCGAGCAACGCCGCGGGAGUGAAGAAGGUUUUCGGAUCGUAAAGCUCUGUUGUAAGAGAAGAACGGGUGUGAGAGUGGAAAGUUCACACUGUGACGGUAUCUUACCAGAAAGGGACGGCUAACUACGUG
This 505-nucleotide ribosomal RNA is filed under the name uncultured bacterium. Its description in RNAcentral is "partial 16S ribosomal RNA". It matches the Rfam family "Bacterial small subunit ribosomal RNA", at positions 28 to 507 of the family's 1533-position model. The record is from RNAcentral.